RNAcentral lists this ribosomal RNA (253 nucleotides) under uncultured bacterium. RNAcentral describes it as "partial 16S ribosomal RNA". It matches the Rfam family "Bacterial small subunit ribosomal RNA", at positions 524 to 776 of the family's 1533-position model. The record is from RNAcentral.
GACGAACCGUGCAAACGUUGUUCGGAUUCACUGGGCUUAAAGGGUGCGUAGGCGGCCGGCUCAGUCGGCAGUGAAAUCCUCCGGCUCAACCGGAGCACGGCUGCCGAUACUGGCCGGCUCGAGCGAGGGAGAGGUGCGUGGAACUUGCGGUGGAGCGGUGAAAUGCGUUGAUAUCGCAGGGAACGCCGGUGGCGAAAGCGAUGCACUGGACCUCUGCUGACGCUGAGGCACGAAAGCUAGGGUAGCGAACGGG